UAGAAAAUAAUAAUAAUAACAAUUAUCCCCCCCUAUUGUGCACAUUUGCGUGAGCUUAAGAGUAAAGUGCCCCUAUUCAAUUAGGGGUAUUUGAAAUGCUUGCGAACUUUUUUUUCAUUACACUCUAUUACAUAAGGUUGUUUGCAUGUGUUGUGUAUUAUACAUAUAUAUAUUGUUA
This 178-nucleotide unclassified non-coding RNA is filed under the name uncultured fungus. RNAcentral describes it as "sequence contains ITS1". Lineage: Eukaryota; Fungi. The record is from RNAcentral.